This 492-nucleotide ribosomal RNA is filed under the name uncultured bacterium. Its description in RNAcentral is "partial 16S ribosomal RNA". It matches the Rfam family "Bacterial small subunit ribosomal RNA", at positions 29 to 507 of the family's 1533-position model. The record is from RNAcentral.
AGUGAACGCUGGCGGUAGGCCUAACACAUGCAAGUCGAACGGCAGCACAGUAAGAGCUUGCUCUUACGGGUGGCGAGUGGCGGACGGGUGAGGAAUACAUCGGAAUCUACUUUUUCGUGGGGGAUAACGUAGGGAAACUUACGCUAAUACCGCAUACGACCUACGGGUGAAAGCAGGGGAUCUUCGGACCUUGCGCGAUUGAAUGAGCCGAUGUCGGAUUAGCUAGUUGGCGGGGUAAAGGCCCACCAAGGCGACGGUCCGUAGCUGGUCUGAGAGGAGGAUCAGCCACACUGGAACUGAGACACGGUCCAGACUCCUACGGGAGGAAGCAGUGGGGAAUAUUGGACAAUGGGCGCAAGCCUGAUCCAGCCAUACCGCGUGGGUGAAGAAGGCCUUCGGGUUGUAAAGCCCUUUUGUUGGGAAAGAAAAGCAGCAGGUUAAUACCCCGCUGUUCUGACGGUACCCAAAGAAUAAGCACCGGCUAACUUCGUG